Molecule: transfer RNA, 71 nt
Filed under: Dipodomys ordii (Ord's kangaroo rat)
Lineage: Eukaryota; Metazoa; Chordata; Mammalia; Rodentia; Heteromyidae
Rfam family: tRNA
About the family: Transfer RNA (tRNA) molecules are approximately 80 nucleotides in length.
Source: Rfam by way of RNAcentral
GGGAAGGUGGUUCAGUGGUAGAGUGCUUGCCUUGCAUGCAUGAGGCCCUGGGUUUGAUUCCUCAGCACCCA